RNAcentral lists this long non-coding RNA (1423 nucleotides) under Arabidopsis thaliana (thale cress). RNAcentral's name for it is "ncRNA (AT4G27852)". Lineage: Eukaryota; Viridiplantae; Streptophyta; Magnoliopsida; Brassicales; Brassicaceae. The record is from RNAcentral.
CAACUAACUUGACUUUUUAUUUAUUUAUAUAAAUGAAGUAAGUUAAGAUCAAACUGAUAAAUCUUGAUUAAAAAAUCGAAUCUUUUUGCUUACAUGGAAACAGGACAAAACAAAUUAAGACCAUGCAGCUAAAGAACAACUCUUUUGGUAGCUUUGUUGUUUAUCUUAAACAUACUUGCAGAAUCUUGAAAUCAGUCUUUUCGGUACUCAGCUGCAAGCUCAUGAAAGCCAAACUUUUCAAAGAUAUCACUGACGAUUCGGCUGGCAAUGAAUGAAAAGGCAGAUGCCCCAAACGCCAUUCCGGUGUAUUCAGCCAUGGUCCUGAGUUUUUGCAUGCGGAAAGCGUAGGCUUUGGCAAAGGAGAGAGAGAUGACGCAGACCAGAGAUGCAGCAAGAACAACCGCAGCUUUGUAGUGUCCCUUGUCGGUUAUUCUGUAAGAGAAGGCGUAGCAGAGAGGAGGUAUCACACCGAAGAAGAAGAAGGAAAGCACAACGACGACGCAGUGGAGCGUGAAGUUCCUUUUGUUUCCCAGCAGUGUUUGGCAAAAAAAAGAAAGGAAACAAAACGACUUACGUUGUUACAGAUAAUAAUAAGGCCACUGGAUAGACUCGCUAGCCCCAAAGAGAUAACGUUGACUGCAAGUAAGAUUAUAUUAGUUUUAAUUGAAAUGUAUGAAGAAACUCAAUGCCGUGUUUAAGUGUACUUACGAGUUGAAGCUCCGGAAGCGACAGCGGAGGAUACGACACCGAGGCUUGUGAUGGACUCGAUAAGACCUCCGUACACAAUACUCUUCAAGAUGUCUAGCUCUCUUGGUAAGUGGUUUUGAACUAGAACCACGAUAUAUUUCAACAUUGGUAAGUGGUUUUGAACUAGAACCACGAUAUAUUUCCACAUUUCCUUUGGAUUUGGCACUGAAAUAGGAAUGCUGAUUGGUUUAUCAUGAUCCUCUGUAAGUAACACUGGACUAGGGUCAUCGAUUGGUUUAUCACUAACAUCAGGUUCCCGGGUCGGAUCCACAUUGGAUUUCCACAAAACAUCUGGAAGUGGCACUGAAAUAGGAAUGCGGAUUGGUUCAUCAGGUGCACGAGGCGGAAACAAGAUGGGAAACAAAGGUUGAAGUCAUCAUUCCAACACAGAAUCAGAGAGUUGAGGGAAAAAGUGCGAUACCUUUGUUAUCCAGCUGAGUAUUAGGCGUGAUGGUUUCUUCGCUCCUAGAUGUGUUUUUGUCAUCUUAAGCAAAUAAAUGAGAAAGAGGGUCAGGGAAAGAUGACAAAGAUGAUGAUCUCCUGUUAUAGUAAUUUUACAUGUGAAAAUACCUAGAGCUUUAUCUGUACUACUAAGACGGGGUUGAGGUUUUAUAAAAGUUUGUGGAAUAACUCUUUUGCUCCCUACAAUAUAUAUAUAGUGUUAAUAUAAGUCUUU